This 465-nucleotide ribosomal RNA is filed under the name uncultured bacterium. RNAcentral describes it as "partial 16S ribosomal RNA". It matches the Rfam family "Bacterial small subunit ribosomal RNA", at positions 339 to 795 of the family's 1533-position model. The record is from RNAcentral.
CUACGGGAGGCACCAGUGGGGAAUAUUGGACAAUGGGGGAAAUCCUGAUCCAGCAAUGCCGCGUGUGUGAAGAAGGCCUGCGGGUUGUAAAGCACUUUCGGUUGGGAGGACUGCUUCUAGCACUAAUAUUGUUGGAAGUUGACGUUACCUUCAGAAGAAGCACCGGCUAACUCCGUGCCAGCAGCCGCGGUAAUACGGAGGGUGCAGGCGUUAAUCGGAAUUACUGGGCGUAAAGCGCGCGUAGGCGGCUAGAUCAGUCGGGUGUGAAAGCCCCGGGCUUAACCUGGGAACUGCAUCCGAUACUGUCUAGCUUGAGUACAGGAGAGGAGAGUGGAAUUCCACAUGUAGCGGUGAAAUGCGUAGAUAUGUGGAGGAACACCAAUGGCGAAGGCAGCUCUCUGGCCUGAUACUGACGCUGAGGUGCGAAAGCGUGGGGAGCAAACAGGAUUAGAUACCCCUGUAGUC